GCAGUGACACACAAGACAAGAUAGCCCAGCCUGAGUGACUCAGUCAUUACAACCAAUCACCUAAACCCAAUAAAGAUUGCGACUUGGUUCACCAAACCAACAGGAAGUCAACAUUAUUCGGGAGGAUAGCUUUCACCACAAGUUAAAACAGAGCAACAGUGUAACAGAGAGAGCACUGGAGACCAGAUGAGGAAAUGACACCUGCCUUCUAGAAGUUCAAUUUCUGCUAAUAACCAGUUUUCAGGGAACACGAAAAUGCCUUUCCACAUGGCAGUUGUAAAAUUCCUUCUGAGGCAGAAUGUUUUCAAUUAGAGAUGGCCUGCUGUUGAUAAUGUCAUUCCCUGACACCUGGAACAUUUUGAAAGACUCCUCAGCAAUGACCUUGGGGCCAGACCAAACUACAAGGGCCAGUGAAUCCCUUCUAUUUAUGGAGACCUGAAUAACUUGGAACCUCCUGCAGUGACCAACAGAUUAAAGGCUAACCGAGUGCUGGUGAGUUAGUCUCGCACACUCUGAAAGAGGACCACGUCAGUAACUGCUGGACUGUACAAGUCACUCACUGUCUUCAGGCACUCAUUUACCUGGGGCCCACUAUGGCAAGAUGGUUAAGAGCACAGGCUUUGGAGCAAAACUUCAGAGGGCGAAGAGGAAGUUCACCUGACCCCAACAGCAACCAGAACG
Molecule: long non-coding RNA, 681 nt
Organism: Symphalangus syndactylus (siamang)
Lineage: Eukaryota; Metazoa; Chordata; Mammalia; Primates; Hylobatidae
Source: RefSeq, a predicted model, not a curated record